GCCGCCGUCAAGAAGGUCCUCAAGAUCAACACCAAAGGUGCUGAGGAGCAGUCUGCUCCGGCAAGCCUUAGGGUUUGUUCCGUUGAAGCAGACGCUCCGGACAAGUUUUGCUCCGGCAAGCUUGCCGGGGAACGUCAAGCUCCAGCCGAGCCGCAGGUUCUCGUCGUAGAAGCGGAUGUUCCCGCAGCAGCAGAUGUGCCUUUAGUCUUUGUUGUCGAGCCGCAAGCUCCAGCAUGGGCACAGCAGAUUGUCCGUUUCCUUCAGACAGGAGAACUUCCCGAAGAGCAAGAAGAAGCGGAAAGAGUAGCCCGGCAGUCAAGUAUGUACCAGUUUGUCGACAACACACUGUACAGAAGAAGGCUCAACGGCGUGAAAUUGAAGUGUAUUCACCGGGAAGACGGACAAAAGCUGUUGGCAGAGAUACAUGGAGGCAUAUGUGGUCACCACAUUGGCGCAAGAGCACUUGUCGGCAAAGCAUUCCGGCAAGGUUUCUUUUGGCCAACAGCCCUCCAGGAUGCAACUGCACAAGUAACCAAGUGUGAAGCGUGCCAGUUCCAUUCCAAGUAG
RNAcentral lists this ribosomal RNA (567 nucleotides) under Triticum aestivum (bread wheat). RNAcentral's name for it is "partial small subunit ribosomal RNA". The record is from RNAcentral. Lineage: Eukaryota; Viridiplantae; Streptophyta; Magnoliopsida; Poales; Poaceae.